UACUCACCCUGGGUACUUAAUGAGAUAGAAUUUUGGAUAACUAUGAUUCUCCCUGAGGAUGUCUACCAUUGUAAUUAGCUCUAAGUUAACCUGCCACCAUAUUUUUAGUAAAAAGAAGAUGCACUGAACCUCUCACCAAUAAAGUUUAGCCAGUUAUUAGCAAUGUCUGCCAAUUCAUUCAAAACCAAAACUCAGGUCAUUCAUUAGCGUGAAUUGAAACAAAAACUUUCAAAGUUAUGAUCAUGGCAAAGUUAUGCUCCACCAAAAUGAUCUUAAACUUCAGACACUGAAAAAUUUUCCUAUCCUUGUUCCCAUGCAUAUGAGAAAAGGCAAAGUUUGUGCAGUUUUCUAAUAAGUUGAACAUGAAAGGCAGAUGAAUGAGGAGCUAGGUUCCUGAUAAUUUUUAUGUUUCUCCUCUAAUCUAGUUAUCUUCCCUCCCAAUAAUCGAGGGCAGUCUUAUUAUUAAAAAAAAAAGGGAUCCAAUAAAAACAUACAACAUUGGUAAUUUAGAAGCAGCUUCAAUAAAAAGCACAACCUUGGCCGUGAUAGGAAAAUUAAGAAGUCAACCUUGAAAUCUAGUGUUGUACUCUUUGGGGGUGUAAUGCUUGUUGAUAUCAAUUGUUGAAAUAUGUUAAGAAAUUUCUUUCACAGAUUGGAGAGAGUGAAUUUUAGGUUGUCACUGUUUGAAACUCUCCUUUCCAUUGCAUGUGCAGAAUAUACACCAGAGA
Molecule: unclassified non-coding RNA, 728 nt
Filed under: Hevea brasiliensis (rubber tree)
Lineage: Eukaryota; Viridiplantae; Streptophyta; Magnoliopsida; Malpighiales; Euphorbiaceae
Source: RNAcentral